GAGGAGACUCGAGGUCUAUUUAGGGAGGCACCUGGGGGGCCCUCAGGAUGGUGAGCCGCUGCUGCCAAAGGCAAGCCAGAGGCGCCUGGCAGAGAUGCCACCAAAUGCUGCAGCCUCUAGAGCCCGUGUGCCAGGUGUUGGAGGGUGGUGGUGGGAAGGACUCAGGGAUGUGCUGGGGGAUAUUGAGGGCUAUUUGCGAUGGGGGUGGGGCAGGGUGCUGGAGAGCAGGAAUCCAGCAGGUGUGCAUACGCGUUGGGGUGUAUGAGAGUGAGCGCUGGGGAUGCUAGAGGUGUGUGCCUGGGGGGAGUGGGCCUGGCUUCGGAAAGUGGGGAGUGUCGGCCUCUGGGGUGUGGGUUAGUGUUGGGGGUUAGUGUUGGGGCUUCGUUCAGGGGUGGGUGGAUUGCAAUGUCUCUGGGCUGGGAACGUGGGUGGGGUGUCUGUAAUGAGCAUAUGGGGAGUUGGAGAUGGUGGGGGCACGGUGAGGAGAGCUAUGUUAGUGCAGAUAUCGCAGGGAUGUGCUGGGCGUGUGUGUGCGCGCGCGCGCGCGCGCCUGGGUGUGUACUGAGGCGUGGCAGCGUCUGGGAUGGGUGCUGGCCUGAGUUGGGGACAGUAGUGGAUGGUGUUCGUGGCUGCUGGCGUGUGCACUGCAGGGACCUGGGUCCGUGGUGCAUGGUUUGUGCACGCGCGUCAGGGUGGAGGAUGCGUGCUUCUGUGGUCCAGGGACCUCCCCCUGCAUGUGAUCACUGGAGACACCUGUGCUGGGCAUCAGGGCACAUGGCCACAAACAUACAGAGCAACCAUCUUUGUAACAGCAUGAGAAGUGAAAUCAACCCCAGCAUUCAUCAAGCUGGCAAUGGGUCUAAAUGGAUGGAAGUCAGUCCCGCAACAGAAUAGAAUGCUCAGAGGAUGAAGGGACCCCAGCUCUUACGGAGCACCAUGGAAACAGUUUUAAACAUGAAUAGUUCAGCUGAAUUACCUGUGGUGAGACACCAUGAUCCUGUGUUGGCCUGAAACCUGUCUGCAUCAUUGCCUCGCCAGGGAGCUGGAGGGCCCGGUGCUCUGACUCUGAGGCCUUGGUCAGGCCAGUUGGAACCCCGGGCUGGUGGGUACCCGUGCUUAAAGUGCUGAAAUACUUCUGCUCCCACUGGUAAAUGGCAGCUCCAAUGCUCCGCACCUGCUGGUCCCCCGCCCACAUCUUGAUCCUGUAACUAGCACCAGCCGGUACAGCAGAGGCCCUCUGAGACCCUGCU
Non-coding RNA from Vicugna pacos (alpaca), 1250 nucleotides. Lineage: Eukaryota; Metazoa; Chordata; Mammalia; Artiodactyla; Camelidae. The record is from RefSeq and is a predicted model, not a curated record.